GACGAACGCUGGCGGCGUGCUUAACACAUGCAAGUCGAACGGAAAGGCCCUGCUUUUGUGGGGUGCUCGAGUGGCGAACGGGUGAGUAACACGUGAGUAACCUGCCCUUGACUUUGGGAUAACUUCAGGAAACUGGGGCUAAUACCGGAUAGGAGCUCCUGCUGCAUGGUGGGGGUUGGAAAGUUUCGGCGGUUGGGGAUGGACUUGCGGCUUAUCAGCUUGUUGGUGGGGUAGUGGCUUACCAAGGCUUUGACGGGUAGCCGGCCUGAGAGGGUGACCGGCCACAUUGGGACUGAGAUAACGCCCAGACUCCUACGGGAGGCAGCAGUGGGGAAUAGUGCACAAUGGGCGGAAGCCUGGUGCAGCAACGCCGCGUGCGGGAUAACGGCCUUCGGGUUGUAAACCGCUUUCGCCUGUGACGAAGCGUGAGUGACGGUAAUGGGUAAAGAAGCACCGGCUAACUACGUG
RNAcentral lists this ribosomal RNA (468 nucleotides) under uncultured bacterium. RNAcentral's name for it is "partial 16S ribosomal RNA". It matches the Rfam family "Bacterial small subunit ribosomal RNA", at positions 28 to 507 of the family's 1533-position model. The record is from RNAcentral.